AUUGAACGCUGGCGGAAUGCUUUACACAUGCAAGUCGAACGGCAGCACGGGGGCAACCCUGGUGGCGAGUGGCGAACGGGUGAGUAAUACAUCGGAACGUGCCCGGUCGUGGGGGAUAACGUAGCGAAAGUUACGCUAAUACCGCAUACGAUCUGCGGAUGAAAGCGGGGGACCUUCGGGCCUCGCGCGAUCGGAGCGGCCGAUGUCAGCUUAGGUAGUUGGUGGGGUAAAGGCCUACCAAGCCGACGAUCUGUAGCUGGUGUGAGAGGACGACGAGCCACACUGAGACUGAGACACGGCCCAGGCUCCUACGGGAGGCAGCGGUGGGGAAUGUUGGACAAUGGGCGCAAGCCUGAUCCAGCCAUUCCGCGUGGAGGACGAAGGCCUUCGGGUUGUAAACUGCUUUUGUAUGGAACGAAAAGGCUCUGUCUAAUACCUGGGGCUCAUGACGGUACCGGAAGAAUAAGCACCGGCUAACUACGUG
Molecule: ribosomal RNA, 484 nt
Filed under: uncultured bacterium
Lineage: Bacteria
Description: partial 16S ribosomal RNA
Rfam family: Bacterial small subunit ribosomal RNA
Source: RNAcentral